RNAcentral lists this ribosomal RNA (320 nucleotides) under uncultured bacterium. RNAcentral describes it as "bacterial SSU rRNA". It matches the Rfam family "Bacterial small subunit ribosomal RNA", at positions 470 to 789 of the family's 1533-position model. The record is from RNAcentral.
UGACGGUAUCUAACCAGCAAGUCACGGCUAACUACGUGCCAGCAGCCGCGGUAAUACGUAGGUGGCAAGCGUUAUCCGGAUUUAUUGGGCGUAAAGGGAACGCAGGCGGUUUUUUAAGUCUGAUGUGAAAGCCUUCGGCUUAACCGGAGAAUAGCAUUGGAAACUGGAAGACUUGAGUGCAGAAGAGGAGAGUGGAACUCCAUGUGUAGCGGUGAAAUGCGUAGAUAUAUGGAAGAACACCAGUGGCGAAAGCGGCUCUCUGGUCUGUAACUGACGCUGAGGCUCGAAAGCGUGGGGAGCAAACAGGAUUAGAUACCCUG